AAGGGCACCACAAGAACGCGUGGAGCAUGUGGCUUAAUUUGACUCAACGCGGGAAAUCUUACCGGGUCCGGACACACUGAGGAUUGACAGGCAAUAUUAGCAAUUCCAUUUUUGCCUUCGGGCUCUAAUGCGUUUUGUUAUGUUAAAUAUGCUAGUCCUUUCAUGAUUAUGUGAUAGGUGGUGCAUGGCCGUUCUUAGUUCGUGGAGUGAUCUGUCUGCUUAAUUGCGUUUCACUAAGGGCCUAUAAUUUAACGUGUGUUGCGGCACUUUGACCCCUCAUUCUCACAUGAGCGCGUGUCUUAGUUUGCUUAGCUCGCACAAUUAGGUCCUGAAAGCAACGAACGUGACCGCAACCUCUUGUUGCCUUUAUACCAAACACGUUUGCUAUAUCUCAAUAUGGUCUCUCGUGAAAAAAGGCUUUUUAAACUAGGGGGACCGCUGUUAUCUUCUUAAACCAGAGGAAGGUUGCGGCAAUAACAGGUCUGUGAUGCCCUUAGAUGUUCCGGGCUGCACACGUGCUACAAUGAUUAUUGCAGUGAGCAUCUCAUUUUUUACACACCGCAUUCACGAGUCCAUUUAUUCAUUACCUUCGGGUUUUGCUUUAAAUGUGCAUCUCUGUGAGCGGUAAAGCCUGCUUCGACAGUAAGUGGGUAAUCAAUUAGAAGUAAUGAUUUCCUUUUUUUUCAGCACACAUAUAUACGGCGUUUAUACCCGGGCUAUCCUUGUUGAUAGCUUUUGUGUGUAUAGAUGUUUUUUCCGUAUGUGCAAUUGUCAAUUCAUGGUGGGGACAGACCAUUGUUAAUUGUUGGUCUCGGUCUUAACUAGGAAUGCCUUGUACGGGUCUUUGGUUCAACGAACCACCCGGAAUACGUCCCUGCCCUUUGUACACACCGCCCGUCGCUCUUACCGAUGGACUUCUCUGUGAGUUUGAGGGACUGGGAACGCAUCUGGUUCUCUUCGGAGCUCCUAUGCACACCUAUGGAAACUUAAACGAACAGUGUGGUCUAAAGGAAAGAGAAGUCG
Molecule: ribosomal RNA, 1023 nt
Filed under: Foraminifera sp.
Lineage: Eukaryota; Foraminifera
Description: SSU rRNA
Rfam family: Eukaryotic small subunit ribosomal RNA
Source: RNAcentral